UACGGAGGAUCCGAGCGUUAUCCGGAAUCAUUGGGUUUAAAGGGUCCGUAGGCGGAUAGUUAAGUCAGCGGUGAAAGUCUGCAGCUCAACUGUAGAAUUGCCGUUGAUACUGGUUAUCUUGAAUCAAAUUGAAGUGGCUGGAAUAUGUGGUGUAGCGGUGAAAUGCAUAGAUAUCACAUGGAACACCUAUUGCGAAGGCAAGUCACUAAAUUUGCAUUGACGCUGAUGGACGAAAGCGUGGGGAGCAAACA
This 251-nucleotide ribosomal RNA is filed under the name uncultured prokaryote. RNAcentral describes it as "partial 16S ribosomal RNA". It matches the Rfam family "Bacterial small subunit ribosomal RNA", at positions 524 to 774 of the family's 1533-position model. The record is from RNAcentral.